UACAGAGGGGGCAAGCGUUGUUCGGAAUUACUGGGCGUAAAGGGCGCGUAGGCGGCCUGCUAAGUCGAACGUGAAAUCCCCGAGCUCAACUCGGGAACUGCGUCCGAUACUGGCAGGCUUGAAUCCGGGAGAGGGAUGCGGAAUUCCAGGUGUAGCGGUGAAAUGCGUAGAUAUCUGGAGGAAUACCGGUGGCGAAGGCGGCAUCCUGGACCGGCAUUGACGCUGAGGAGCGAAAGCGUGGGGAGCGAUCCGG
Molecule: ribosomal RNA, 253 nt
Filed under: uncultured bacterium
Lineage: Bacteria
Description: partial 16S ribosomal RNA
Rfam family: Bacterial small subunit ribosomal RNA
Source: RNAcentral